This 702-nucleotide ribosomal RNA is filed under the name uncultured fungus. RNAcentral's name for it is "eukaryotic LSU rRNA". The stretch from base 261 to 415 matches the Rfam family "5.8S ribosomal RNA". The record is from RNAcentral. Lineage: Eukaryota; Fungi.
UUGGUCAUUUAGAGGAAGUAAAAGUCGUAACAAGGUCUCCGUAGGUGAACCUGCGGAGGGGAUCAUUACCGAGUUAGGGUCUCUUUGGCCCGACCUCCCAACCCUUUGUCUACUUGACCAUCGUUGCUUCGGCGAGCCCGUCCUCACGGACCGCCGGAGGGACCUUUACAGGCCCUCUGGCCCGCGCUCGUCGGUGGCCCAACCUUUAAAAUCUUAACUAAACGUGCCUUAAUCUAAGUACAAUUAUUAAAUUAAAGCAAAACUUUCAACAACGGAUCUCUUGGUUCUGGCAUCGAUGAAGAACGCAGCGAAAUGCGAUAAGUAAUGCGAAUUGCAGAAUUCCAGUGAGUCAUCGAAUCUUUGAACGCACAUUGCGCCCUUUGGUAUUCCGAAGGGCAUGCCUGUUCGAGCGUCAUUAUCACCCCUCAAGCCCCUGGCUUGGUGUUGGACGGUUUGGUGGAGGCCCCCUCGGGGGCUCCUGCCCCUCCCAAAGACAAUGACGGCGGCCUCGUUGGACCCCCGGUACACUGAGUUCUUCACGGGACACGUACCGGACACAUGGGUUUACGGGACACGGUCUGCCUCCCCUCAGGGAGAAUCUUUCUAAGGUUGACCUCGGAUCAGGUAGGGAUACCCGCUGAACUUAAGCAUAUCAAUAAGCGGAGGAAAAGAAACCAACAGGGAUUGCCCCAGUAACGGCGA